CUUUUUCACAACACGAGGGGGGCACUAAAACUUCAGAUGCGCAUAAAGGCGUUUAAAAACGAGUGAGAAAAGUGCCCUUGGGACUUUUCCAUCCUUACCCACAGACUCCAUAGCUUUAGGCGCAGGACCACAUCUGGGUUAAAGGUCGCGCAGAGGUAAUGGAAGUUAUUGGAGGUAGUCCGACAAGGGUGUCUGUGGGGUCUUUGGUUCACAGUGGGGUUACAUAGACUGUUGUUUGUUUUCUCCAGAAAUAUGUUUCCUUCCUAAAGCGGACGUGUCCUGCUUCAGAGUGCAGCUUUCACCACGCUCUUGUCACCAGUCUGUACGUUGUUUGUUUUCAAGGUUUAUGAACUCUUUCCCCUGCAGGAAAACAAAUAAUAUCUCGAUGUCAUAAGCUGCAAGGCAAGCCAAACCCGGACGACGCUGGGCGAAUUGUGCACCGCCCUAUGGGACUCCCAAUCAGAGCGGGAUGUGAUAAAGGGACUGUAGUGAAGCC
Molecule: long non-coding RNA, 496 nt
Filed under: Salmo salar (Atlantic salmon)
Lineage: Eukaryota; Metazoa; Chordata; Actinopteri; Salmoniformes; Salmonidae
Description: lncRNA (ENSSSAG00000117679.1, ENSSSAG00000118430.1)
Source: RNAcentral